Molecule: long non-coding RNA, 1551 nt
Organism: Cydia amplana
Lineage: Eukaryota; Metazoa; Arthropoda; Insecta; Lepidoptera; Tortricidae
Exons: 2
Source: RefSeq, a predicted model, not a curated record
UCUUACUAGACAUACAGGAAUAUUUUUAAUACGGAGUUUAAUAUUUCCUUUGGAUAUCCACGAGUAGAUACAUGCAGCUUUUGUGAUGAGAUUCGGGUCAACAUAGCUGCCUGCACCAACGAUGAGCAGAAGCGAAAGUUGAAACAUGAUGACCAAAAACAUAAAGACAACGCUGAUAUAUUUUACAAACGAAAGAGGCUCGCACGUAUAACAGCAUUAAAAUAUAGUUCAUUAACAGCUAUUGUCAUGGACUACCAGAAAAAUAUCUCUUUACCGGAUAUAUCGACGAACGAUGUAUAUUACAAACGCCAGCUCGCUUUCAAAGUUUUCUUUUAACAUACACGAGUUGGCAACUAAAAGGUCUUAUUUCUAUGCUUAUCCAGAGACGCAUGCCAAAAAGGGCUCGAAUGAAGUAGCUUCUUUCCUGUAUGAUUUUAUCAUAAAGAGUCCGGCAAACAUUAAACACUUGCACAUAUUCUGUGACUCAUGCGUAGAGCAGAAUAAAAAUUACAAUGUAUAUUCAUACAUUUUAUUGUGCACGAACUACGUCGUAUGGAUUGGAUUCCAUUACUAUGACAUUUCCAGUGAGAGGGCACUCUUAUUUAGGAAAUGACAAGAACAUGGGCCUCAUCAACCAAAAAACUCGAAUGGAAAUGCCUAGUGAUUGGUACGAUUUACUAAGGAGUUCACGGCAGAAACCUUUUCCCUUUGAACUUGUGGAAGUUGAGAAUGAUAUGGUGAAAUCUUGGGCAGAUGCACUGAAAAAAAAAUACGUCACUAAAUGUCUGUUUCCCAUACAAGUACUGAAGGAGAUACAAGUUCGCAAAGACGAGCCCAAAUGUAUAUUUUACCGGCAAGAUUAUAAAGCUAACUGGGUCAAAAAAGUUAUAACACAACGAUCAAGCCCUUUGCGUGCAAGAGAAUUCAACCUGCCACCGAAUGCAUACUCAAAACUCCUGCCAGUAAAAAAAGAUAAAUAUCGAGACCUGCAGUGCUUAAAAAGGUUUUGUGCUAAAGCGACUCAAGAUUUCUUAGAUACGCUACCUCAUUAUUGACUUUAAUCUACUGUUUAUCUAUGACAUAAUAUGUCAUAGAUGGUUUUCUUUUGUUUUAAGUGAAAGAGUCUCACGCUUUAAUUUCAAUCAGAAAUUAUUAAUAAGAUAUUUACGGAAAGAUGAUGAAAACUGACGAUAAUAGAUUCAUUGAACCAUGCGUAUUGGAAAAUUUGUAGGUAUAACUAUUCGUUUCAAUGUAGAUAACUUUAUAGCUCAAAACAGUGGGAAACCACUUCUAGAAAAGGUGAACAGUAUAAAAGAAUCGAUUUUUAAAUUGUCACUUCCUGGAUUCAUACAGUCCCAGCUGUUUCAUGAUAUUCUCCCAAUUUGGGUUAUAGAUCUAGAUAAAGAAAAUUAUAUUUUAACAGGAGAUUUGUGCCAAUGCGGUUAUAAUAAUGAUACCGCACAUUAUUAUGAUUUCGAACGAUUUCUCCCUGAUUUAUUCUGCAUACAAUGUGCCGGGCCGCUAUUUUCAGUAAAGUCUUAAAUCACUCCA